This 492-nucleotide ribosomal RNA is filed under the name uncultured bacterium. RNAcentral describes it as "partial 16S ribosomal RNA". It matches the Rfam family "Bacterial small subunit ribosomal RNA", at positions 29 to 507 of the family's 1533-position model. The record is from RNAcentral.
AGUGAACGCUGGCGGUAGGCCUAACACAUGCAAGUCGAACGGCAGCACAGUAAGCUCUUGCUCUUACGGGUGGCGAGUGGCGGACGGGUGAGGAAUACAUCGGAAUCUACUUUUUCGUGGGUGAUAACGUAGGGAAACUUACGCUAAUACCGCAUACGACCUACGGGUGAAAGCAGGGGAUCUUCGGACCUUUCGCGAUUGAAUGAGCCGAUGUCGGAUUAGCUAGUUGGCGGGGUAAAGGCCCACCAAGGCGACGAUCCGUAGCUGGUCUGAGAGGAUGAUCAGCCACACUGGAACUGAGACACGGUCCAGACUCCUACGGGAGGCAGCAGUGGGGAAUAUUGGACAAAGGGCGCAAGCCUGAUCCAGCCAUACCGCGUGGGUGAAGAAGGCCUUCGGGUUGUAAAGCCCUUUUGUUGGGAAAGAAAAGCAGCAGGUUAAUACCCCGCUGUUCUGACGGUACCCAAAGAAUAAGCACCGGCUAACUACGUG